Strongylocentrotus purpuratus (purple sea urchin) is the source of this 540-nucleotide long non-coding RNA. RefSeq lists it as uncharacterized. Lineage: Eukaryota; Metazoa; Echinodermata; Echinoidea; Camarodonta; Strongylocentrotidae. The record is from RefSeq and is a predicted model, not a curated record. The transcript has 2 exons.
UGUCUAUAGGGCAAAUAAGAUGUAGUCAAGUACUCAAGUUACCACCUGUCAGCCAAGAUCAAACUUUUGGAAUAUAAGAGUUUUGGGGAGGGGUCAUCUUUUAUCAAUUUCUGUUUAUUGAUAAUAAUUAUAACAUUUGGGAAUGGGCCUAUGAGUCUGAUAUACCUUGGUGCGUGUGUGGACCACGGAGUAACCAUCACACUAAAGGAUGUUAUAUACUAUUGUACAGUAUUAUUGUUUCUCUGGAAAAAAUUGCAGUCAUUGAGUCAUAGGUAUUUUUUUUUUUUUUAAGAAAUGUUUUUAUAAUGUGUUUUAUAAUGAAGGGUGCAGGUCAUGAUACAAUACAUUCCCUGGAGAAAAAAAUAGUGCUCAGAUUUAGCCUAAGUAUGCUUUGUUGAAUUUUUAAAGAAAAAAGUAAUCUACAAAUGGAAGUAGCAGAUGAGGUCAUUUGUGCUUAAUAUUUGACCAUCAAUGUUAUAAUCUGUAAACAUAUUAGUUUGUUGUAAUAAAAUGAAUAAAUUAAACAUGUUUCUUAUCUUA